Molecule: long non-coding RNA, 1510 nt
Filed under: Equus asinus (donkey)
Lineage: Eukaryota; Metazoa; Chordata; Mammalia; Perissodactyla; Equidae
Description: lncRNA (ENSEASG00005038071.1)
Source: RNAcentral
GAGAAACAGCACUCUCCUUAGCUUCGCCACAGAGCAAUCAGUCAUUGCUACACGGCUGAUCCUCCAAUGCUGCAGUAACCACAGAAACCACACAGAGCUUGGACUGAGCACGUGGUUACGGACACAAUCAUCAUUUUUAACACAGAGAGAUGAAGUCACUCAAUCUUCUCUCGGAUGAAAAUAAAAUAUUGAAAUACAACUUUGGAAAUAAACGUUCUUCCUCCCAAUGGAGAAACGUGUGCUGUGAAGACAAGACUCCAUUUUAAGUCCCUGAGUAAGGGACAAGAAGACCAAUGGGACGGAUUCCUGAGAAGCCAUUAAAAAUUGGAGUGCUCCAACCUCAGAGAAGAAUCAGAUUCUCUUGCCAACAGUCCACAGCCCAACCAUCAAACAGGAAUAGAGAUGGUGAUCAUCCCACAAAGAAGUCAGCAGCUCCUGGAAGUGCCUGGAAUAAUGAGACUCCCAUGCACCCUCCCACUCCAUUUUCCAUUCUAGAAACAUUCUAUUUCAAUGCGCUCUCCUCCUUUUCAUACUUAUUUUCCAUCUGGGCACCCAUCCAGACAUUAAAAUUCAUAUCUUCCUUGAAGAAAUCUCCAUCACGAAGCUAUCAUUACCCUUGGCUCCAGCAUAGAUAAGUCUCAGAUAUGUGGUUCAGAAGUACCCCAGAGGGAGCUGGGAGGUGGAGGGAAAGCUGAAAGUGUAAUAAACAGAAUAUAUUCAGCAAGGUUUUCCCCAUGUUGGGUCCAUCUGAUUCAGGAAUGCCUCAUGAUCAUUACCAAACCCAGGGAUGAUUUGAGACAGAUGUAUUUAAGGAGUUCUGUCUUUUUUCCUCUUUCUCAAGUUGCCCUUAGUCACCCUGAAAUCAUGACCAGCUUUUUUAGUACAAAAAGGAAACUCCUACAGGCCAAGGAAUGAACUCAUCUGUUCAUCAAUGGAUCCAAGUUCAGGUCCUGUUUCCUGCAUGACUUCUGCAUAUCCUUGCUUUUCAGAGCAGAUACUACUCACAGGGAGCUCAGAAAAGGAAAAUGUACAUGUGACACAGUGAAAAGACAGACCUGGCUCCAACAGUUCUUCACACCAAGAAUAUCCAAAGACAGUCUUUUGGUUUGCAGCUGUAGCCAAGAUAGUGAUGUUCAGAACAUCCUUUUCCAAAUUCACAUUGUUCUGAAUCUGAACUAAUAGAUCAUAAAGUCCCUGAGGGUUAUGUCUUUAAUUAAUUCAGUAUUUAUUGAGUAAUACUAUAUACCAAGCAUUGUACUUAUUUGUCUUUGUAACACCAGUCUUAGUCAUAAUAAGCAUACAAUGAGUGUUUGCUUGUUUGUUUGUUUUGAUGGUUGUUUUCCCAACUAGAAUGCAAGCACUAAGUAGUCAUGGACUUGAACCUGACAUAUCCUGGGUGCUUAAAACACUUUUUUUGAAGUGAUAGAUUAAUUAAUUAAUGAAUGAGUGAAUAAAGUAGUCAACUCACACCAAAAAGUUGUAGCUGACAGUGAUAGGAAGUGGUAUGUUU